GACGAACGCUGGCGGCGUGCUUAACACAUGCAAGUCGAACGGAAAGGCCCUGCUUUUGUGGGGUGCUCGAGUGGCGAACGGGUGAGUAACACGUGAGUAACCUGCCCUUGACUUUGGGAUAACUUCAGGAAACUGGGGCUAAUACCGGAUAGGAGCUCCUGCUGCAUGGUGGGGGUUGGAAAGUUUCGGCGGUUGGGGAUGGACUCGCGGCUUAUCAGCUUGUUGGUGGGGUAGUGGCUUACCAAGGCUUUGACGGGUAGCCGGCCUGAGAGGGUGACCGGCCACAUUGGGCCUGCGAUGCGGCCCAGACUCCUACGGGAGGCAGCAGUGGGGAAUAUUGCACAAUGGGCGGAAGCCUGAUGCAGCAACGCCGCGUGCGGGAUGACGGCCUUCGGGUUGUAAACCGCUUUCGCCUGUGACGAAGCGUGAGUGACGGUAAUGGGUAAAGAAGCACCGGCUAACUACGUG
This 468-nucleotide ribosomal RNA is filed under the name uncultured bacterium. Its description in RNAcentral is "partial 16S ribosomal RNA". It matches the Rfam family "Bacterial small subunit ribosomal RNA", at positions 28 to 507 of the family's 1533-position model. The record is from RNAcentral.